UACGAAGGGUGCAAGCGUUACUCGGAAUUACUGGGCGUAAAGCGUGCGCAGGCGGUUAUGCAAGACAGAUGUGAAAUCCCCGGGCUCAACCUGGGAACUGCAUUUGUGACUGCAUAGCUAGAGUACGGUAGAGGGGGAUGGAAUUCCGCGUGUAGCAGUGAAAUGCGUAGAUAUGCGGAGGAACACCGAUGGCGAAGGCAAUCCCCUGGACCUGUACUGACGCUCAUGCACGAAAGCGUGGGGAGCAAACAGG
RNAcentral lists this ribosomal RNA (253 nucleotides) under uncultured bacterium. RNAcentral's name for it is "partial 16S ribosomal RNA". It matches the Rfam family "Bacterial small subunit ribosomal RNA", at positions 524 to 776 of the family's 1533-position model. The record is from RNAcentral.